Long non-coding RNA from Prionailurus viverrinus (fishing cat), 744 nucleotides. RefSeq lists it as uncharacterized. The transcript is spliced from 3 exons. The record is from RefSeq and is a predicted model, not a curated record. NCBI's taxonomy places the organism in Eukaryota, Metazoa, Chordata, Mammalia, Carnivora, Felidae.
UGUGAGCUUGGGCGGCUGCGGCUGCACAGCCUCGAUGCGCCCCCUCAGGCUGUGCUGGGUGUUCUGCUCCCAAGGUUGGGAGCGAGGACAACUUUGCCGGCGCUGAAAACUCUUCGGCGCCAGAAAGAGACCUAGGGGGCAGGCGAAGUGCGACUUGCUCUCGCUUCUCUCACUUGUAUUUUCCUAAUUGCAAAAAUCGUGUUUGUUCACUGGAAGUAAGAGCAAAUGCAGGACUGUGUUGUUAACGGGCUGCAUACGUACCACCAAACGAGCGAAACUUUUCUGUCCGCUGCUACUGAAUUCUCUUUAGAAAAACAAACAAACAAACAAACAAACAAACACCUGAAUGCAAAGGCAGUAGUCAAGCGAACCUGCACAGCAAAAGUGAAAGAGUUGAUCAAAGAACAUCAUCAAGAGAUUGAAGAAGCAGUUUAGCAAUUUUAUUCCAAACACAGUGACAGCGUGUGUUUGGUGAAACGCUGGGAAGAUUCAGCACUUCACUGAGUUGUCCUUUAUGUGGGAUAACCUGAGCAGGUACAUGGAAUUUUGCAAAGUCCCUUUCAACCCAGGAGGAUGAUCUGAGAUGACAGAUGGCCUACGUGAUGAGAAGAAGUGACGUGAACGACGUAGAUACGUAACAUAGCGUUGGGUUACUACUGACCUUCUGACCUUACAUCAGAAGCAGUAUCAUCUGCUUUGGACCCCAGAUGACUGUGAGCAACUGAAUGAACAGAAAGCAAAACC